AUACGUAGGGGGCGAGCGUUGUCCGGAAUUACUGGGCGUAAAGCGCGCGUAGGCGGACAUUUAAGUCAGAUGUGAAAACUCUGGGCUCAACCGAGAGCAUGCAUCUGAUACUGGGUGUCUUGAGUGUAGAAGAGGAGAGUGGAAUUCCUAGUGUAGCGGUGAAAUGCGUAGAUAUUAGGAGGAACACCAGUGGCGAAGGCGACUCUCUGGUCUAUAACUGACGCUGAGGCGCGAAAGCGUGGGGAGCAAACAGGAUUAGAUACCCUGGUAGUCCACGCCGUAAACGAUGGGUACUAGGUGUUGGGGGUUUCGACGCCCUCAGUGCCGGAGUAAACACAUUAAGUACCCCGCCUGGGGAGUACGGUCGCAAGACUGAA
Molecule: ribosomal RNA, 377 nt
Filed under: uncultured bacterium
Lineage: Bacteria
Description: bacterial SSU rRNA
Rfam family: Bacterial small subunit ribosomal RNA
Source: RNAcentral